AUAAAGUUUGAUUUUAGCUUAAAAUUUAUUUAAUUUUAAAAUUACAUGAUAAUUAUAGUAAGAAUAAAUAUUUAUUUAAAAAAUAAAAUAAUUUAAUCUCAGUAUAUAAAAUUAAUUAUAAAAGAAAUUUUGAAUUAGUUAAAAAUUUUAUUAUAGGAUAAAUUUGUGCCAGCAUCUGCGGUUAUACAAAUUAUAUAAAUAAAUUUUAUUAGUAAAUAAUUAAAUUUUAUUGUUAUUAAUAUUUUUUUUUAUUUUAAAAGUAAAAUUUUUAAUUUAAAAUAAUUUAUUAAAAAAAUUUAAUUGAAGUUAUAAAAAUUUUAUUAUAAACUAGGAUUAGAUACCCUAUUAUUUAAAUAAUAAAUUUAUAUUACUAAGGUAAUAAUAGUUAUAAUCUUUAAACUUAAAAAAUUUGGCGGUAUUUUAGUCUAUUUAGAGGAACCUGUUUUUUAAUCGAUAAUCCACGAUAAAUUUAACUAAUUUUAUUAAAAAUUUGUAUAUCGUCGUUAUCAGAAUAUUUUAUAAGAAAAUUAAUAUUCAAAAAUUUGUAUUAAAAUUAAUUUCAGAUCAAGGUGCAGUUUAUAAAUUAGUAAAAAUGGGUUACAAUAAAAUUAUUUAUAUGGAAAUAUAUUUGAAAAAAUAAAUUGAAAGUGGAUUUAAUAGUAAAUUUAUUUAAAUUAAUAAAUUGAUUAUAGCUCUAAAAUAUGUACAUAUCGCCCGUCGCUCUUUUUUUUAAAAAAAGAUAAGUCGUAACAUAGUAGAUGUACUGGAAAGUGUAUCUAGAAAGAU
This 786-nucleotide non-coding RNA is filed under the name Eumantispa harmandi. Lineage: Eukaryota; Metazoa; Arthropoda; Insecta; Neuroptera; Mantispidae. The record is from RNAcentral.